Molecule: ribosomal RNA, 364 nt
Filed under: uncultured bacterium
Lineage: Bacteria
Description: partial 16S ribosomal RNA
Rfam family: Bacterial small subunit ribosomal RNA
Source: RNAcentral
CCUACGGGCGGCAGCAGUGAGGAAUAUUGGUCAAUGGACGCAAGUCUGAACCAGCCAUGUCGCGUGCAGGAUGACGGCCCUACGAGUUGUAAACCGCUUUUGUACGAGGGUAAAUCCCGAUACGUGUAUCGGUUUGAAAGUACCGUACGAAUAAGGACCGGCUAACUCCGUGCCAGCAGCCGCGGUAAUACGGAGGACUCAAGCGUUAUCCGGAUUUAUUGGGGUUAAAGGGUGCGUAGGCGGUCCGUUAAGUUAGAUGUGAAAUCCCGGGGCUCAACUCCGGCACUGCCGUUGAUACUGUCGGGCUAGAGUUUAGUUGCGGUAGGCGGAAUGUAUGGUGUAGCGGUGAAAUGCAUAGAGAUCA